AAAAAAGGUAAGCUACUAAGAGCGAAUGGUGGAUGCCUUGACUGGUAAAGGCGAUGAAGGACGUACUAGACUGCGAUAAGCUACGGGGAGCUGUCAAGAAGCUUUGAUCCGUAGAUUUCCGAAUGGGGCAACCCAAUGUAUAGAGAUAUACAUUACCUAUAUAGGAGCGAACGAGGGGAAUUGAAACAUCUUAGUACCCUCAGGAAAAGAAAUCAAUAGAGAUUGUGUCAGUAGCGGCGAGCGAAAGCGCAAGAGGGCAAACCCAGUGCUUGCACUGGGGGUUGUAGGACUGCAAUGUGCAAGAGCUGAGUUUAGCAGAACAUUCUGGAAAGUAUAGCCAUAGAGGGUGAUAGUCCCGUAUGCGAAAAACAAAGCUUAGCUAGCAGUAUCCUGAGUAGGGCGGGACACGAGGAAUCCUGUCUGAAUCCGGGUCGACCACGAUCCAACCCUAAAUACUAAUACCAGAUCGAUAGUGCACAAGUACCGUGAGGGAAAGGUGAAAAGAACUGAGGUGAUCAGAGUGAAAUAGAACCUGAAACCAUUUGCUUACAAUCAUUCAGAGCACUAUGUAGCAAUACAGUGUGAUGGACUGCCUUUUGCAUAAUGAGCCUGCGAGUUGUGGUGUCUGGCAAGGUUAAGCAAACGCGAAGCCGUAGCGAAAGCGAGUCUGAAUAGGGCGCUUAGUCAGAUGCUGCAGACCCGAAACGAAGUGAUCUAUCCAUGAGCAAGUUGAAGCUAGUGUAAGAACUAGUGGAGGACUGAACCCAUAGGCGUUGAAAAGCCCCGGGAUGACUUGUGGAUAGGGGUGAAAGGCCAAUCAAACUUCGUGAUAGCUGGUUCUCUCCGAAAUAUAUUUAGGUAUAGCGUUGUGUCGUAAUAUAAGGGGGUAGAGCACUGAAUGGGCUAGGGCAUACACCAAUGUACCAAACCCUAUCAAACUCCGAAUACCUUAUAUGUAAUCACAGCAGUCAGGCGGCGAGUGAUAAAAUCCGUCGUCAAGAGGGAAACAACCCAGACUACCAGCUAAGGUCCCUAAAUCUUACUUAAGUGGAAAACGAUGUGAAGUUACUUAAACAACCAGGAGGUUGGCUUAGAAGCAGCCAUCCUUUAAAGAAAGCGUAAUAGCUCACUGGUCUAGUGAUUUUGCGCGGAAAAUAUAACGGGGCUAAAGUAAGUACCGAAGCUGUAGACUUGCGCACAACUUAGAUUAUUUAAGUUUAGAAUAUGAGAAACUAAGUUAUAUUUUUACUGAUUUUUAUAGAGUAAAGAUAGAAAUAAAACUUAGUAAAAUCAGUAAAAAUAUUCUUAGGCUAAAGUUAAGUAGUUUAAGUUGUGUGCAAGUGGUAGGAGAGCGUUCUAUUUGCGUCGAAGGUAUACCGGUAAGGAGUGCUGGAGCGAAUAGAAGUGAGCAUGCAGGCAUGAGUAGCGAUAAUUAAUGUGAGAAUCAUUAACGCCGUAAACCCAAGGUUUCCUACGCGAUGCUCGUCAUCGUAGGGUUAGUCGGGUCCUAAGUCGAGUCCGAAAGGGGUAGACGAUGGCAAAUUGGUUAAUAUUCCAAUACCAACAUUAGUGUGCGAUGGAAGGACGCUUAGGGCUAAGGGGGCUAGCGGAUGGAAGUGCUAGUCUAAGGUCGUAGGAGGUUAUACAGGCAAAUCCGUAUAACAAUACUCCGAGAACUGAAAGGCUUUUUGAAGUCUUCGGAUGGAUAGAAGAACCCCUGAUGCCGUCGAGCCAAGAAAAGUUUCUAAGUUUAGCUAAUGUUGCCCGUACCGUAAACCGACACAGGUGGGUGGGAUGAGUAUUCUAAGGCGCGUGGAAGAACUCUCUUUAAGGAACUCUGCAAAAUAGCACCGUAUCUUCGGUAUAAGGUGUGGUUAGCUUUGUAUUAGGAUUUACUCCGAAAGCGAAGAAACUUACAACAAAGAGUCCCUCCCGACUGUUUACCAAAAACACAGCACUCUGCUAACUCGUAAGAGGAUGUAUAGGGUGUGACGCCUGCCCGGUGCUCGAAGGUUAAUUGAUGGGGUUAGCAUUAGCGAAGCUCUUGAUCGAAGCCCGAGUAAACGGCGGCCGUAACUAUAACGGUCCUAAGGUAGCGAAAUUCCUUGUCGGUUAAAUACCGACCUGCAUGAAUGGCGUAACGAGAUGGGAGCUGUCUCAAAGAGGGAUCCAGUGAAAUUGUAGUGGAGGUGAAAAUUCCUCCUACCCGCGGCAAGACGGAAAGACCCCGUGGACCUU
RNAcentral lists this ribosomal RNA (2238 nucleotides) under Campylobacter jejuni. Its description in RNAcentral is "partial 23S ribosomal RNA". It matches the Rfam family "Bacterial large subunit ribosomal RNA", at positions 1 to 2101 of the family's 2925-position model. Lineage: Bacteria; Pseudomonadati; Campylobacterota; Epsilonproteobacteria; Campylobacterales; Campylobacteraceae. The record is from RNAcentral.